CCCUAUGGGGCGCAGCAGUCGGUUCCACGGUGGGUGCUUCGGUGGCCGGAACCAUCGUGGGUGCUUCGGUCGGUGUUGCUGCCGGGGCACAUCCGGUCAGCAAUGCCGGGGCAACCAGCAUUACUGCAACAACUAUAAAUAUUACUUUCUUCAUGCUUCGCAUACAAUCCUCCUUAUCAGAUUGAUUGGAUUAGCUUACCAAUUUAAUAUAUACCAAUGAAUUUUUAAAAGAAAGUUAAAUGCUGCGUUUGCCCAGUUGAUUGGAAAUAUUUAAGAAAAAAGAGCGAAUGAUAUAAUCUUAAUAGGAUGGAAAACGCCAAUAAAUCCCGUUUUCAAAUCGUCGACAAGAUCAAAUCUCUACUGAUCAGGGAAAAACAAUACCUCUCUGAAAACCGCAGUGAUGCGAAAGACCUGGCCUUGCUGGAUGAUUUGCUUUUACAGGUCGAUGACCUUUUUCUAUUGGUCGUGGCGGGGGGGC
Molecule: ribosomal RNA, 478 nt
Filed under: uncultured prokaryote
Description: partial 16S ribosomal RNA
Source: RNAcentral